This 443-nucleotide ribosomal RNA is filed under the name uncultured bacterium. Its description in RNAcentral is "partial 16S ribosomal RNA". It matches the Rfam family "Bacterial small subunit ribosomal RNA", at positions 338 to 795 of the family's 1533-position model. The record is from RNAcentral.
CCUACGGGAGGCAGCAGUGGGGAAUAUUGGGCAAUGGGCGCAAGCCUGACCCAGCAACGCCGCGUGAAGGAAGAAGGCUUUCGGGUUGUAAACUUCUUUUAUUGAGGACGAAACAAAUGACGGUACUCAAUGAAUAAGCCACGGCUAACUACGUGCCAGCAGCCGCGGUAAUACGUAGGUGGCAAGCGUUAUCCGGAUUUACUGGGUGUAAAGGGCGUGUAGGCGGGACUGCAAGUCAGAUGUGAAAACCAUGGGCUCAACCCAUGGCCUGCAUUUGAAACUGCAUGGCUGGAGUGCGGGAGGGGCAGGCGGAAUUCCUGGUGUAGCGGUGAAAUGCGUAGAUAUCAGGAGGAACACCGGCGGCGAAGGCGGCCUGCUGGACCGCGACUGACGUUGAGGCUCGAAAGCGUGGGGAGCGAACAGGAUUAGAUACCCCAGUAGUC